UUCUCAAAAGCUCGUUGAGGCAGCGCAAAAAAUACAUUACCUACAAAAUAAACCCUCGAUCUCUCUAGUUCCAAAGGUAUUUUGUGGAAAAAUAUUCAAAGCUAAAAAAGGAAAAAAAUUACAUACCGGACAUUUGGGAACACAAAAGGUGUUUGAUCUUGAAAUUUCUUUCUUCAAUCACACAUAAGCCUAACAUGCUCCUCAAUGCUGGUCUCGAAUUUUGAAAAUGAUUGCCCAGCACCGCACAGGCCAGAGCAAGAGAUUUGGGGACUCACAAAUCUUGUUAGGAUGUGCAUUAGAUUUGGGGACUCACAAAUCUUGUUUGGGGAAUUAGGGGAAUGACCCCAACCCAAAAAUCUCAAAAUCAGUAACAUAUUGUGAUGGAUUCUGGCUUCCAAAAGUG
Molecule: long non-coding RNA, 403 nt
Filed under: Amborella trichopoda
Lineage: Eukaryota; Viridiplantae; Streptophyta; Magnoliopsida; Amborellales; Amborellaceae
Description: long non-coding RNA (ATRI_LNC004493)
Source: RNAcentral